This 259-nucleotide ribosomal RNA is filed under the name uncultured Staphylococcus sp. Its description in RNAcentral is "partial 16S ribosomal RNA". It matches the Rfam family "Bacterial small subunit ribosomal RNA", at positions 103 to 355 of the family's 1533-position model. Lineage: Bacteria; Bacillati; Bacillota; Bacilli; Caryophanales; Staphylococcaceae. The record is from RNAcentral.
CGGGUGAGUAACACGUGGAUAACCUACCUAUAAGACUGGGAUAACUUCGGGAAACCGGAGCUAAUACCGGAUAAUAUAUUGAACCGCAUGGUUCAAUAGUGAAAGACGGUUUUGCUGUCACUUAUAGAUGGAUCCGCGCUGCAUUAGCUAGUUGGUAAGGUAACGGCUUACCAAGGCAACGAUGCGUAGCCGACCUGAGAGGGUGAUCGGCCACACUGGAACUGAGACACGGUCCAGACUCCUACGGGAGGCAGCAGUC